GGGUUGUGAGGUUAAGCGACUAAGCGUACACGGUGGAUGCCCUGGCAGUCAGAGGCGAUGAAGGACGUGCUAAUCUGCGAUAAGCGUCGGUAAGGUGAUAUGAACCGUUAUAACCGGCGAUUUCCGAAUGGGGAAACCCAGUGUGAUUCGUCACACUAUCAUUAACUGAAUCCAUAGGUUAAUGAGGCGAACCGGGGGAACUGAAACAUCUAAGUACCCCGAGGAAAAGAAAUCAACCGAGAUUCCCCCAGUAGCGGCGAGCGAACGGGGAGCAGCCCAGAGCCUGAAUCAGUGUGUGUGUUAGUGGAAGCGUCUGGAAAGGCGUGCGAUACAGGGUGACAGCCCCGUACACAAAAAUGCACAUGCUGUGAGCUCGAUGAGUAGGGCGGGACACGUGGUAUCCUGUCUGAAUAUGGGGGGACCAUCCUCCAAGGCUAAAUACUCCUGACUGACCGAUAGUGAACCAGUACCGUGAGGGAAAGGCGAAAAGAACCCCGGCGAGGGGAGUGAAAAAGAACCUGAAACCGUGUACGUACAAGCAGUGGGAGCACAGAGCAAUCUGUGUGACUGCGUACCUUUUGUAUAAUGGGUCAGCGACUUAUAUUCUGUAGCAAGGUUAACCGAAUAGGGGAGCCGAAGGGAAACCGAGUCUUAACUGGGCGUUAAGUUGCAGGGUAUAGACCCGAAACCCGGUGAUCUAGCCAUGGGCAGGUUGAAGGUUGGGUAACACUAACUGGAGGACCGAACCGACUAAUGUUGAAAAAUUAGCGGAUGACUUGUGGCUGGGGGUGAAAGGCCAAUCAAACCGGGAGAUAGCUGGUUCUCCCCGAAAGCUAUUUAGGUAGCGCCUCGUGAAUUCAUCUCCGGGGGUAGAGCACUGUUUCGGCAAGGGGGUCAUCCCGACUUACCAACCCGAUGCAAACUGCGAAUACCGGAGAAUGUUAUCACGGGAGACACACGGCGGGUGCUAACGUCCGUCGUGAAGAGGGAAACAACCCAGACCGCCAGCUAAGGUCCCAAAGUCAUGGUUAAGUGGGAAACGAUGUGGGAAGGCCCAGACAGCCAGGAUGUUGGCUUAGAAGCAGCCAUCAUUUAAAGAAAGCGUAAUAGCUCACUGGUCGAGUCGGCCUGCGCGGAAGAUGUAACGGGGCUAAACCAUGCACCGAAGCUGCGGCAGCGACGCUUAUGCGUUGUUGGGUAGGGGAGCGUUCUGUAAGCCUGUGAAGGUGUACUGUGAGGUAUGCUGGAGGUAUCAGAAGUGCGAAUGCUGACAUAAGUAACGAUAAAGCGGGUGAAAAGCCCGCUCGCCGGAAGACCAAGGGUUCCUGUCCAACGUUAAUCGGGGCAGGGUGAGUCGACCCCUAAGGCGAGGCCGAAAGGCGUAGUCGAUGGGAAACAGGUUAAUAUUCCUGUACUUGGUGUUACUGCGAAGGGGGGACGGAGAAGGCUAUGUUGGCCGGGCGACGGUUGUCCCGGUUUAAGCGUGUAGGCUGGUUUUCCAGGCAAAUCCGGAAAAUCAAGGCUGAGGCGUGAUGACGAGGCACUACGGUGCUGAAGCAACAAAUGCCCUGCUUCCAGGAAAAGCCUCUAAGCAUCAGGUAACAUCAAAUCGUACCCCAAACCGACACAGGUGGUCAGGUAGAGAAUACCAAGGCGCUUGAGAGAACUCGGGUGAAGGAACUAGGCAAAAUGGUGCCGUAACUUCGGGAGAAGGCACGCUGAUAUGUAGGUGAAGUCCCUCGCGGAUGGAGCUGAAAUCAGUCGAAGAUACCAGCUGGCUGCAACUGUUUAUUAAAAACACAGCACUGUGCAAACACGAAAGUGGACGUAUACGGUGUGACGCCUGCCCGGUGCCGGAAGGUUAAUUGAUGGGGUUAGCGCAAGCGAAGCUCUUGAUCGAAGCCCCGGUAAACGGCGGCCGUAACUAUAACGGUCCUAAGGUAGCGAAAUUCCUUGUCGGGUAAGUUCCGACCUGCACGAAUGGCGUAAUGAUGGCCAGGCUGUCUCCACCCGAGACUCAGUGAAAUUGAACUCGCUGUGAAGAUGCAGUGUACCCGCGGCAAGACGGAAAGACCCCGUGAACCUUUACUAUAGCUUGACACUGAACAUUGAGCCUUGAUGUGUAGGAUAGGUGGGAGGCUUUGAAGUGUGGACGCCAGUCUGCAUGGAGCCGACCUUGAAAUACCACCCUUUAAUGUUUGAUGUUCUAACGUUGACCCGUAAUCCGGGUUGCGGACAGUGUCUGGUGGGUAGUUUGACUGGGGCGGUCUCCUCCUAAAGAGUAACGGAGGAGCACGAAGGUUGGCUAAUCCUGGUCGGACAUCAGGAGGUUAGUGCAAUGGCAUAAGCCAGCUUGACUGCGAGCGUGACGGCGCGAGCAGGUGCGAAAGCAGGUCAUAGUGAUCCGGUGGUUCUGAAUGGAAGGGCCAUCGCUCAACGGAUAAAAGGUACUCCGGGGAUAACAGGCUGAUACCGCCCAAGAGUUCAUAUCGACGGCGGUGUUUGGCACCUCGAUGUCGGCUCAUCACAUCCUGGGGCUGAAGUAGGUCCCAAGGGUAUGGCUGUUCGCCAUUUAAAGUGGUACGCGAGCUGGGUUUAGAACGUCGUGAGACAGUUCGGUCCCUAUCUGCCGUGGGCGCUGGAGAACUGAGGGGGGCUGCUCCUAGUACGAGAGGACCGGAGUGGACGCAUCACUGGUGUUCGGGUUGUCAUGCCAAUGGCACUGCCCGGUAGCUAAAUGCGGAAGAGAUAAGUGCUGAAAGCAUCUAAGCACGAAACUUGCCCCGAGAUGAGUUCUCCCUGACUCCUUGAGAGUCCUGAAGGAACGUUGAAGACGACGACGUUGAUAGGCCGGGUGUGUAAGCGCAGCGAUGCGUUGAGCUAACCGGUACUAAUGAACCGUGAGGCUUAACCUUACAACGCCGAAG
Molecule: ribosomal RNA, 2927 nt
Filed under: Escherichia coli
Lineage: Bacteria; Pseudomonadati; Pseudomonadota; Gammaproteobacteria; Enterobacterales; Enterobacteriaceae
Description: bacterial LSU rRNA
Rfam family: Bacterial large subunit ribosomal RNA
Source: RNAcentral